UGCUUAUCGAGAUAAGACGGAGGGAAAGGCCCCAUGAAGUCUUGGCAACCUGUACAAAUUUCAUAUAAUGUAAAAGGUGCUAAUUCCUGCUCCUAUAAAAGGAGAAAGAUAAGAA
This 115-nucleotide non-coding RNA is filed under the name Mucilaginibacter lappiensis. Its description in RNAcentral is "SAM-I sequence". It matches the Rfam family "SAM riboswitch aptamer (S box leader)". From Rfam's summary of the family: The SAM riboswitch is found upstream of a number of genes which code for proteins involved in methionine or cysteine biosynthesis in Gram-positive bacteria. The SAM riboswitch acts at the level of transcription termination control. Lineage: Bacteria; Pseudomonadati; Bacteroidota; Sphingobacteriia; Sphingobacteriales; Sphingobacteriaceae. The record is from RNAcentral.